CAGCACCUCAAGUGGUCAGGAUGAUUAUUGGGCCUAAAGCAUCCGUAGCCUGCUUUGUUAGUUUUCGGUUAAAUCCAUACGCUCAACGUAUGGGCUGCCGGGAAUACUGCAAAGCUAGGGAGUGGGAGAGGUAGACGGUACUCGGCAGGAAGGGGUAAAAUCCUUUGAUCUAUUGAUGACCACCUGUGGCGAAGGCGGUCUACCAGAACACGUCCGACGGUGAGGGAUGAAAGCUGGGGGAGCAAACCGGAUUAGAUACCCGAGUAGUCC
This 270-nucleotide ribosomal RNA is filed under the name uncultured archaeon. RNAcentral describes it as "partial 16S ribosomal RNA". It matches the Rfam family "Archaeal small subunit ribosomal RNA", at positions 477 to 747 of the family's 1478-position model. The record is from RNAcentral.